Molecule: ribosomal RNA, 426 nt
Filed under: uncultured bacterium
Lineage: Bacteria
Description: partial 16S ribosomal RNA
Rfam family: Bacterial small subunit ribosomal RNA
Source: RNAcentral
GUGAGGAAUUUUCCGCAAUGGGCGAAAGCCUGACGGAGCAAUGCCGCGUGAAGGAUGAAGGCCUAUGGGUUGUAAACUUCUUUUCUCAGAAAAGAAUUAUGACGGUAUCUGAGGAAUAAGCAUCGGCUAACUCUGUGCCAGCAGCCGCGGUAAGACAGAGGAUGCAAGCGUUAUCCGGAAUGAUUGGGCGUAAAGCGUCUGUAGGUUGUUUAAAAAGUAUUCUGUCAAAGAUUAGGGCUUAACCCUAGAUAGGCAGAAUAAACUUUUAAGCUAGAGUUUGGUAGAGGCAGAGGGAAUUCCCGGUGGAGCGGUGAAAUGCGUAAAUAUCGGGAGGAACACCAAAGGCGAAGGCACUCUGCUGGGCCAAUACUAACACUGAGAGACGAAAGCGAGGGGAGCAAAUGGGAUUAGAUACCCUUGUAGUCC